AGCUCCAUAAAGCCUGCUGCCCUCCUCAAUGCUUGAGAAACACUUCAGCAUCCAUUACAGGAAAAAACAUGAAACAAAAACAUGCUAUAGGAGGAAGGAAUGGCUUAUGCAAAGAAACAAAAGCCUUGUAUUUCAGGCUGUAAAAGCGGAAGUUCAGACAGUGUAAACUGUAGAUGACGUUUACUGAUUAAUCACACAGUCACAGAACUCUUAAGACUGGAGGGGACAUCUGGAGGUCACCCUGUCCAAACCCCGACUCUCACUGUAAAGAAGAAUUUUUUUCUUUCUUAUCUGAUCUUGGAUGGUUUUCAUCUCUCAGCUGAAACUGAUGCCAGUGGAAUCUGGAUAUAGAAGAAUGUUUUAUAUUGAAAGGGAGAGAAAUCAUAGAAGAAAGAAGAGAACAAAGAAAAGGAAAAAAUGGAAAAGAAGACAAUAUGCAGCUGUAAGGAAUGAAUUGUCCCUCCUGGAGUUGCCUGCUUCUCUCUCUUGACUGCAAAGGAAGACUAGGGCAAUUUACCUUCAGAGAUGAAUGUUGGCCUCAGCUUCAAAGCAAAAUAUUUAAACAUGCAGUUCACUGGUAACUUUGUUGGUAUUACAUUAGACUGUACAGGUUCAGUGAAAAAGCAGAAAUGGAAUUCAGGUUUUUAAUUUUUUUUCAGUCUUUAGUAUACUGUUUUCUUUUUCUCAUCUCUUGAACUGCAACAGUGACAUCAGUUUUACUGAGAAGUUCCUGUCUUUGAUUACAAUUUAACUUUUGCUGUACUUGCUGUUCUUUCUUUUUUACCAUUUUAAGCAUUAUUAUUUCUAAUUUGUAAAAAAAUGACUGUUUCUGUGUUUUAAAAGUUACUGUAGUUAUCACUUAUGGUGAGAUAUUGCUACUGUGUGUUGACCAGUCUGAACUUAUUACUUUAUGAAAAUAUAUCUGAAGUAUUGGAGAGAUAGUGUCUGUGCAUUUUCAAAAGGCCUUUACUAUUGCUAUUUACAUGUUGAGUUUUAGUCAUGAUAUGAAGAAAAAGAAAGUACCUAUAAUUUUUACCCUUAUUGAAGAGCUGUUUAAAUUACCUUGGGCAAAAUGUCACUUUUCCUUUUAACCUCUCUUAGUUUUGCAGCUUCAUUUUAAUUUUUUUUACUUCACACGCAGUUCCUUGAUUAUUAUUUUUAACGGCUAAUUAACUGACAGCGCAUGACUUCUGGUUAUUCAUUUAAAUUAACUAAAGAGCAUGAAAUGCUUCAUGUAGGUUUGAUACAGGAAAAGAUUUUUCAGUUGGUAUGUUCUUAUCAAACUUCCUCUCAGUAAUAAAUAAGUGACUAAAUUACUUAUUCAUUUGUUUAUUUAUUUUUCAGUUUAAAUGCUAGAAUCUGUGAGGGUAUGCAAUUUUGUAAUAUGAAGAAAUAAGCACAGCUCUAAUACAAAUGAAAAAACAGUGAAUACCAUUUAUUUUUACAAUUUGUAAUUGGAAUUCACUAGGUGUUGACAGGGACAACAAAAGAGUCUACAUGCUGCAGAAUUCAUUUGGAUGUUUAGGUACAUUCUAAAGCAGCCACCCUUGGGUAUUACUGUGUAGAACUGAUAUAAAACACCAAAUUUAAUUCUUUUGUCUGUUUUAAUGCUCUCAUAUUAUGGUAAUUAGUUGACGGUUCAUUGGGAUAUAUUUAGAGUAGAUCUGUUAGCAUGCAUCUUUUUUCUUUGUAUCUUACCUUUGUUAUCUUAGUAAUGGUUUAUAUUGUGGCGAUUGUUAGAGAAAUCAUUAUGUCACCAUAUGACAUUCUGUUCUUAGGUCUUUGUCAGUUUAAGUUUUUCUUUAAAAUUUUUGAGUUAUAUUACGGUAUUAGAAGUCAUAAAAGGAUUAAGUUGUUGGAUUUUGAUAUUGGGUUUAUGAGUAGUAUACAUGUAUUUUAUCUGUCGAUGAAGGCCCUGGUUAUUUCCUCAUUUAUAUAUAUAAAUUAUUCCAUUCUUAGUGAUGGGUAACUUCAAUACCAACAAACAGGAAAGUUCCCAUACUCAUGUGUUUGGUAACUUAGGAGAUGGAACUGUCUUUCAGCCUCUUGUAAUACUACCAUUUAGACACUGUCUGAUCUAAAAAAAUAUGCUGAUUAAUUCACGGAUCUGAGUAUAAUGUUGGACUUAAAGGAAGCUGAGAAAUGAAUAAUUUGCUUUCUGCCAUUUUCAAAAUUCUAUUAGCAGUUCCCAAGUCUGUUUGAUUUUUAUACAAAUACUAUAAUUAAGUAGUAGUAAUAUUAAAUUUAGCUAUUUGAAAGUGAUUAAAAUCUUGAAUUAAAUUGCUAUGCAGCACAGAAUACAAUGAAUCACAGAUAUAAUAUGUUUAGAAAAAGACAAGCUGAUAUGUUCAGUCCUAGCCAAAGCUUAUGAAUGAUUGUGGAAAAACUACUGUGUAUAGAUAUAUUGAUCUAGCUAGAUAUAUGGACAAUUGUUUAAAUAGUAGAUUUUAAGUGAAAAUAUUCAAUCUUUUGUCUAGUUGAAGGUAAAGUAAGAUAUUUCUGUCCACCACUGUGCAAUUAUUACUUCUUUUAUAAUCUUGAAUUUGGAAAUCUGCAAAUUUAUGGGCAAAGGCAUUUGGCAGAGAAUGAAGCCAUAGUGAAGGAACCUACCUCUGCCAAAAUUCCUAGUUUUCUUACCUGUGCUACAUCUAGUUUCAGUCAUGUAAUUCUUUCAGUACAAUACUAUGAGCAGAGAGGAACAGUUAUGUCCCAGUGUAAUGAAACUCUUCUUCAGAUUUGCAGAUGCCAAUAUUAUACACCAUGGUGUUUCAGGGUUUUCUAUGGUUGCCUUCUUAUAUAUAUUUUCUGCAGAUUGAACAGACACAUCUAUUGAGCAAAACAUUUUGUUCCUCCAAGAUUUAUGAAUCAUCUGACACUCUUUAGUAAGGUCAUGCAUGGAUGUUGGCCAGCCAGGCUUUCUUCAAAAGGACAUGUGAUUGUUUUAGUGGUUCAAACCACCACUUCUAAAACUUAUGUUUAAUUGAACAAAGUAUGUGAAAUUCUUCAGUCAUCAAGUGUUUUUUCUAAAGCAGAAUCUCUUAUGAAAGUACCUUUGGAAGGAACAUGGCAGCAUGCUAACUUUUAAUAUCUAUUAUUAAAAACAUUUUAUUAACAAAAUAAUUAUUUUACUGAAGUCUUUAAGUACAUAAUUCUCUAUUUGUUAUAUUGGUAAGACUGAAUAAGGUGAAUGGGCAGAACCACUUGGAGGUACUGUUUUUUCUCUGUGUUAAAUGAAACUUCCAUCUUAUUUUCUUCCUCUGUCCUGUUGAAGUGGUGGAGAUAGUGGCUGGGUGGUGAUCUGGCAGCCAGACAAGGUCA
Molecule: long non-coding RNA, 3318 nt
Organism: Columba livia (rock pigeon)
Lineage: Eukaryota; Metazoa; Chordata; Aves; Columbiformes; Columbidae
Exons: 4
Source: RefSeq, a predicted model, not a curated record